Molecule: ribosomal RNA, 517 nt
Filed under: uncultured bacterium
Lineage: Bacteria
Description: partial 16S ribosomal RNA
Rfam family: Bacterial small subunit ribosomal RNA
Source: RNAcentral
AACGAACGCUGGCGGCGUGGAUAAGACAUGCAAGUCGAACGGGAUUUUUUUCUGUAGCAAUACAGAGAAAAGUCUAGUGGCGAACGGGUGCGUAACACGUGAGCAACCUGCCGUGAAGUGGGGGAUAGCUCGCCGAAAGGCGAAUUAAUACCGCAUGUGGCCAAGGAAGACAUCUUCCUGACGCCAAAGCCGGGGCAACCUGGCGCUUCUUGAGGGGCUCGCGGCCUAUCAGCUUGUUGGUGAGGUAACGGCUCACCAAGGCUAUGACGGGUAGCUGGUCUGAGAGGACGACCAGCCAAACUGGAACUGAGACACGGUCCAGACACCUACGGGUGGCAGCAGUCGGGAAUUUUUCACAAUGGGGGAAACCCUGAUGGAGCGACGCCGCGUGGAGGAUGAAGGUUUUCGGAUUGUAAACUCCUGUCAUUAGAGAACAAGGCACACGGUUUAACUGGCCGUGUGUUGAUAGUAUCUGAAGAGGAAGAGACGGCUAACUCUGUGCCAGCAGCCGCCGUAA